RNAcentral lists this ribosomal RNA (465 nucleotides) under uncultured bacterium. RNAcentral describes it as "partial 16S ribosomal RNA". It matches the Rfam family "Bacterial small subunit ribosomal RNA", at positions 28 to 507 of the family's 1533-position model. The record is from RNAcentral.
GAUGAACGCUGGCGGCGUGCUUAACACAUGCAAGUCGAACGGAAAGGCUCCUGCUUGCAGGGGUACUCGAGUGGCGAACGGGUGAGUAACACGUGGGUGAUCUGCCCUGCACUUCGGGAUAAGCCUGGGAAACUGGGUCUAAUACCGGAUAGGACGAUGGUUUCGAUGCCAUUGUGGAAAGUUUUUCGGUGUGGGAUGAGCUCGCGGCCUAUCAGCUUGUUGGUGGGGUAAUGGCCUACCAAGGCGUCGACGGGUAGCCGGCCUGAGAGGGUGUACGGCCACAUUGGGACUGAGGGACGGCCCAGACUCCUACGGGAGGCAGCAGUGGGGAAUAUUGCACAAUGAGCGCAAGCCUGAUGCAGCGACGCCGCGUGGGGGAUGACGGCCUUCGGGUUGUAAACUCCUUUCGCUAGGGACGAAGCGAAAGUGACGGUACCUGGAGAAGAAGCACCGGCUAACUACGUG